This 714-nucleotide ribosomal RNA is filed under the name Termes aff. fatalis 1 VR-2017. RNAcentral's name for it is "partial 16S ribosomal RNA". The stretch from base 304 to 512 matches the Rfam family "Bacterial large subunit ribosomal RNA", at positions 1697 to 2031 of the family's 2925-position model. The record is from RNAcentral. Lineage: Eukaryota; Metazoa; Arthropoda; Insecta; Blattodea; Termitidae.
UUUUUUAGAAAUGAAUUUAAUUCAUGCAUUUGAUUUAAUUUCUGUUGUUUUUUAUUUAUUUUUAUUUGAUGCUAAGAUUAAGGGGGAUUAGCUCCUUGUUUUAUUUUUAUAAUUAUUAUUUUAAUUUAGUUUUGUGGAUUUUAUGGUGAUUUUCAAUUUGAUUAUGUUAAAAUUUUAUUUUCUCUUUUGUUUAUUUGUUGUUAAUUUAAAUUUUUUAUUGGAAUGUUUUCUUUAUUUUGUUUUGUAUGGUAAUUAUUGUGUAAUUAGUAAAUUGUGCUUUAUUGUAUUGUUCAUUUGUUUGUUAAUUUCUUUUUAGGAAUUAGGCAAAAUUUUCAUGUCCGCCUGUUUAACAAAAACAUCUUUUCUUGUUAGUUUUUGAAGUAUGGCCUGCCCACUGACUUAGGUUGAAGGGCCGCGGUAUUUUGACCGUGCAAAGGUAGCAUAAUCAUUAGUUCUUUAAUUGUGAUCUGGUAUGAAUGGCUUGACGAGACAUGGGCUGUCUUAAUGGUAUUGUUUGUUGAAUUUGGUUUUUGAGUUAAAAUUCUUAGAUGUUUUUAUGGGACGAGAAGACCCUAUAGAGUUUGACAUUUUUCUUAUUAUUGUGAGGGUGUUUGUUAUGAUUGAUUUAAUAGGUUUAUUGUUUUGUUGGGGUGAUGGGAGGAAUUUUUUUAACUCCUCUUUUGUUUAUUAUAUUUAUGUAUAUGUUCUUGAUCC